CAGAACGCAAAACUAAAAUUUAAAAAAAAAUGUAUAGGAUAUCGUAUACCUAAACAAAGCAGAAGAAGUAUAUAAAUCAGUUUUAUUUUAGAACACGCAUGUCAAGCCAAUACAACUUCAAAUUAUCAAAUGAUAACUAGCUAUACUUGAUACCUUAACAACAUACCAUAAGUAUUUUAAAACUACUAAAAGACAUACAAAAUAAAAGUAAUUUCAUUAUCUACUUUUAAAUUUGUCUCUUUUUAGAAAAUAACGUGUUAUUGACUCAAAUUAUAAGUUCAUUAUCUGAAGAUGUUUUUACAAUAUGAGUUAAUAUUUAAGUAUAUGCCAUAAAUAGUACAUAAUACACGUAGUUUUAAAUUUUUAAUAAACAUAUGUAUUACACAUUUUACUUAAAUUUAUUAUUUAAUUAAUUUACUGUAUAUAUUUAAUUUAAGUUCAGCAUACAACUAUUUGCAAACAGCAGGAUCAUUUAAUUUUUUUUUUAAUCUUUACAUUUUUAUGCAUACCACAAAUCCUAUUUAAUAUUUAUCUAUUUUUAGGCCAACUAAUUUAAGAAGUGGGCCAAAUCACAAUAUAAUUGGAUUUUAAAUACGCAAAUGUUUACCUUGCGUGGUUCAAAUGACUCCACUGUUCAUAAAUAAUAUGGAUGUCAUUCAAACUGUUAUAAUAAUUACUAUCAUAAAACGUAGACAAUCAAGUUUCCAAGUUUUUAAGGUCAAUCAACAAUCUGUUAUUACAGUGUUGUACGUACCUUUUACUACUGUGGCAUUGUUCUGCAAAUUAAUAAGCCAAUGUUGAUAAGGAUAAUUUGGACGCACUCCACCGUAUA
Molecule: long non-coding RNA, 832 nt
Organism: Aphis gossypii (cotton aphid)
Lineage: Eukaryota; Metazoa; Arthropoda; Insecta; Hemiptera; Aphididae
Exons: 2
Source: RefSeq, a predicted model, not a curated record